GAGAAAGAGAGAGGGAGGAAGAGAGAGAAGCUUGGCCCGACUUAGAAGAGGAGGCGGCGAAUUAUAGGUAAAGAACAGAGCUUUAAAGAAACAUGCCAAGAAAACGGGCAUUAGAAAAAGAUGACAUUUUAAAAGCGAAACGGAUAAAAGUUAGCCAUUCCUCACACCAAAGCGAGCCAGGAUUGGUGUUGACCCUGGGGCAAGGUGAUCUUGGACAGUUGGGCCUUGGACCAGAUGUGCUGGCACGGAAGAGGCCCGCCGUAGUGAAGCUCCCUGAGAAAAUUAUCCAAGCUGAGGCAGGAGGGGUUCAUACAGUGUGUCUGAGCGAAACA
This is a long non-coding RNA of Ahaetulla prasina, 332 nucleotides long. RefSeq lists it as uncharacterized. Lineage: Eukaryota; Metazoa; Chordata; Lepidosauria; Squamata; Colubridae. The transcript has 3 exons. The record is from RefSeq and is a predicted model, not a curated record.